GUGCUGGUGCCUGGUGGGUCGACGUUUCUGCUGCUCUCUGAGUCGACUUCACUUUGAAAUUUGACGCCGAGCGCAGCGGAACAUUCAACGGGACACGGCCGGUUUGCCGCUGUUGGUGCUGCUGGUUUUGCUAUCUUCCACCCGACCGUCGCCACCACGCAGCUGACGUCGUCGCUGCGGCAGAGCAGCAACCAUUAUCCUGCAGGAUUCUGCGACGGCCCUGGGAUCAGGCCCUCAUUCAGGGCCAUUCAUUAAAAUGGCUGCAAAAAUAAAGCGACAAAAAACCGCUAAACGGUGCAAAAAGUGAUACAAAAAUUAAAACCCCCCCUAGAAAAUCAUCCCAGUGAUAAUAAAAAACGCUUAAAGCCUUCCAAGCCCAGACAAUGGCAAGGAUUUAAUGUUAAAUAUUGGUUUCAAUCAGGUAUGUUCAAAAAUUAAACUAUAUUAAAUGGAAACUCAACGAAAAAAACGAUUCAAAGCUAAAGUCAGAGCCAAAGGACACACUCGUACGCAUGUGCCAGAGACAGGAGCGAGGGAGCAGGGACAGGCGGAGUGAGGUGUGGAAAGGAUAGAGCAGCAGGCGUUGAGGGGGGGGAGACCGAGUGGCACAGGAGCGUAAGGGGGUGCUUGAGUCAAUUGCCAUUUCCAAAGCCUGCGCCUGUCCUCGUUUUGACUCGUCGUCGCCUCUGUAUGUAUAUGUGUGUGUAUCUGUGUGUCGCCCCUGUGGUUCUGUGUGUGUUCGCGUUUUUGCAUUAGUGUAAGUGUCGCGCGCCCGGAAAUGUGCAAAGGCAAAGCAGCAGGAGCCGCAGCAGUCGAAGCUCUCCUUUCAUCCACUUUUCAUUUGCGCAGAAAACCGAACGCAAACUUCCCACCCUCUCGCCACACCUCCCCCCCUUCAACACAGGAAAAGCAAGUGGCAGGAGUACGACACACACACACACACACAAAAAAAGGAAGAAGCCCGAAUUUCAACCUCGUUGUCGCGCUAUCAGGGACAUGAACAGCAGCAACAAUAACUACUUGAGUCCACUCCCCUCCCCAGGUUGGCUGCCACAGGCAGACCAACCCCCCUGUAGUGCUUUCGGUGGGCCGGGAAACACUUGUCCCGCCAUUUAGUGCAUGGGUUAAGUAGUAUACCGAAAUAUUAGUGGGGCGGGAGGACAAGCAGCGGCGACAGCUGCUCCAUAAACCCCAAAAUAGGAACACCCAAAAGCCAGAGGAAAAAGGCGCUUUCCAUCCAACCUACAGGCAAAGAGUAUUCCCAUCUACAGCCAAAAGGCACUAGGACCCCAUCAUCAUGAUGAUGAUGAUGAUGAAGAUGCAGAUACGGCAAGUGGCAAAGUGUUAAGUUAGAAGGAGACUGGGAGUGGGUCUGAGGACUGCGAUUGGCAGCAUCUGCAGCAGAUAUAGAGAUGGCGCGAUGCUGAGAUGUAGAGAUGAAGAUGAUGAUGAUUAUUACGUUGACCCAACCCGUGGCUGCUGCGGAUGCAGCGGCUGCACUUAAUGCGUACAUACUGAGGGAAUGUACAUACAUAAAUUGUACAUAUGCAUGUACAUAGCUACACCCGUGGUACAUCUGUGCAUAUAUUGAGUGUGGAUGCGCGUAAGGUGCGUAAACUCUGAGGUUCGGGGAUGCGCAGGCAGCAAUAUGUCGACCACCAGAGCUCGCCACACUUUUGGCUAAGGUCAAAACGGCUCAGUGCGGGCAGCUCCCUUAAUGUUUGGAAAAUAAACCCAUUUUCCCUAUUUUUUGUACGAGCAUAUGCAAAUUGUUGAACGGCAAAACCGGCAACUGACUAAUAGCCAAAACGAGAAUAUCAUUGAAAAAUAAAAAACUUGCUGGGUCACACUUGAAUUAUCAAUAGAAAAAACCACCAACUUUUAUUGCUUUUUUAUGCAUUUGUGCGCUGUCUUGAUUAUAAUGAUUAUAUUAUAUUGAGUUCCAGUUCGAGUAGGUUUUUGUAUUUUAUGACUAAUUCCGUAUGGGUGACGACUCGAAGAUAAAGACCGAGACCUGUUUACUGACGUUUCUUUAUGGCAUAGAAAUCUGUUUGAUAGGGCUAUGAUGUUGUCUCUUGGAUAUUUAUUAAAUGUUAAAACAUUUAACCAGGGACUAGGAGAAGAAAAAGAGAUUAGAAAUGAAUUCCUAAGAGAGUGGGCUGGGAAUUGUGCAAACUCUUAUAAAUAUGCAUAGGCGGCUGGCAGUGUGAAGCAUUUUUAGAUUCAAAUCAGAAAAAUGUCAAAGAAAAGACAGCUUCGGUGAUGCCAGUUCUGUGUUAAUGGGUCACCAACUGACGUUGUGUUGCGUAAGUUGUGUGAAUUUCAACGCAAAAGAACCAAAACAGUGACUAAACCCACAAAAAUUCCCACAAAAUUCGCAAAACUUGAAAACCAUAAAAUCCCCGGAGAAUUUAAUUUCCCCCAACUAUUAAAACAUGCCGCACCCAUGCAUAUGGUGCAUUUUUCCCAUAUCCAAAAAAAAACACCCCAAAACCCCAACAUUAUCAAGAACCACCCUGAGGGGAAUCGAAUUGAGGUGGGAACUUCUAUCCACCCAUUUCAAGUAGCUGCAGUAUGACAUAUUUAUUGGAAUUUCAUGCAAAUUUUCAAACAAUCAACUGGGCAAAUGCAGCUGUCUUGAAAGAGAGCUUGCAAUCAACAGAGAACCCUCGGAGAAAUGUGCUCUCUAUGUCCACAGAGAACCCGAACCCUCGGAGAACUGUCCGCGGGGCAGCAACACAGACACAGACAAGAGUUGCCCGCGCAUUUUCAUUAAGCCCGACGUAAAGAUAAAUUAAGACACUAAAACGAAAUAAAAUACAAAAACUGUAGAACAGAGACAAAGAAACUGAAACAAAAACAAAAACGAAAACGAAAACAACAAGAAGAACCCAUAAAGGAAGGCGCGUAUUUUCGUAAACAACAAACAGGCACCGACAAGAUCGAGAGAACGAAC
Molecule: long non-coding RNA, 2956 nt
Filed under: Drosophila guanche
Lineage: Eukaryota; Metazoa; Arthropoda; Insecta; Diptera; Drosophilidae
Source: RNAcentral